CCGCCUCGCCUCCGCCUCUUUCUUGCUCGCCCUUCUCUCCUUCGUUUCCCUCUUUCCUUUCCCUCCUUUUCUCCUUCUCUCAGCCGGCCACGCCCUCCAUCUCCGCCCCUCCCCCUCCCCCUCCCCGGCUCCCCCCACGGCAGCGUGGCUUCCUCUCCGUCGCUCCCCGUACCCCUUAGUCCAUAUGAUGUUUGUUUGUUUGUUCGUACAAAUCUGAUGCUAUUUUUUCUCUUUUCCUCCUUUUGUGUCAGUCGGUCAGGCAACGGGCAACGGCUGCGCGGCUAGGUGGAGGCACGGCAGGGAGACGACGAGGAUGAGGCCGUGCGGCGGUGGUGGCUCGGUGCGAUGUGGAGGCCGGGACACUGGCGCGGCCAUGCGGUGGUAGGGGCAGGUCGUGAAUGUGCGGUGGUCGGAGAUCACCAUUGGCGUUGCCUCCCCCUCCUCUUGAUGUAUCCAUGGCAACCCCUAACCUGCUUCUUGUCGCUAUCUCCACAUAGAGGUAGUGGCAAUGGCAACGGAGGAAGGGAGCCAGGCUUUAGCGGUUUGUAGAUGAUGACGCAAUGACGAUGGUGUCUCUCAAGCGGUGGCUGGAGGUAGAACAAAUUUUUGGAUUUUGCUGUUUAUCUUCUGAUCUUGCUUUUCGUUAUGCAUCUGAUUUGGUUGUAUGGAAGCUGUGAAACACUGAUUUUG
Molecule: small RNA, 690 nt
Filed under: Oryza sativa Japonica Group (Japanese rice)
Lineage: Eukaryota; Viridiplantae; Streptophyta; Magnoliopsida; Poales; Poaceae
Description: sRNA Os11g0440866
Source: RNAcentral